CCAUUUAAAAAUAAUAAUUGUACAAGCCCAUUUUGCCCGGGCCCAUACCAGCAAAACAGAUACACUAGACCCAACUAACCCAAACAAACCCAAAAUUAUUAACCUAGCCCAAAAUUUAAAAAAAGAGACCAACGGCCCAAAACAUAAACAAAUUUCAGCAAAAAAGAAAACCCUAGGGUUUCCCUGCCUCUCCAGCACCGCGCCACCUGCUACCAUGUGCGUCUGACGCCUCCUGCCACGGCCGUACGGUCACCUGCAAACACGCAAGAAGAAAAGCAGAAGUAGACAAGACUAGACAGAAAAAAUUUAGCUUUCUUUGGCUAUAAAGCCGAAUAUUGUAAAAUGAAAUAGGGGGCUUCAUCACUGUAAUCGAGAGUCCCGAUUUUUGAAAAAAAAACAUUAAAAGAAAGAAAUACAAAGCAGAAAACAGAGAAGGUUUUCCCUUCUUUUUCUCUAUCAUUCUGUUUAGAAGAUCUUUUUUUCUUUUGUUUUAUCUACUUCUUUUUAGAAUAUUAGUAAUAAAAUAAAUAAAAGGGGACUCACCGGGAACCGCCACGGUUUCGCCGUCGGAGGGCUUCUCCUCCGUCUCCGAUUCGGAUCCGAAAGGGGUUGAGGAUUCCCCUCUUUCUCGCGGGUUGAGAGAGCUUGGCUCUCAAGGACGCCGCAACGAGGGCUAAAGGGCCUUUCUUUCUCGGCGUUGACCGUCGGCCACGGGGUGCCGCAGCGGAGGCCGAAGAAGGCCAUCGUUCGGAUGGUUGGGGGGGAGGUGGAGAGUUUUUGUUUUUUUUUAUUUCUU
Molecule: long non-coding RNA, 796 nt
Filed under: Gossypium barbadense (sea-island cotton)
Lineage: Eukaryota; Viridiplantae; Streptophyta; Magnoliopsida; Malvales; Malvaceae
Description: long non-coding RNA (GBAR_LNC014635)
Source: RNAcentral